ACUAAAUAGAUACCCCGGUAGUCCACGCCCUAAACGAUGUCUACUAGUUGUUGGUGGAGUAAAAUCCAUGAGUAAACGCAGCUAAACGCGUGAAGUAGACCGCCUGGGGAGUACGGUCGCAAGAUUAAAACUCAAAGGAAUUGACGGGGGCCCGCACAAGCGGUGGAUUAUGUGGAUUAAUUCGAUGCAACGCGAAAAACCUUACCUGGCCUUGACAUGCCACUAACGAAGCAGAGAUGCAUUAGGUGCCCGUAAGGGAAAGUGGACACAGGUGCUGCAUGGCUGUCGUCAGCCCGUGUCGUGAGAUGUUGGGUUAAGUCCCGCAACGAGCGCAACCCUUGCCAUUAAUUGCCAUCAUUUAGUUGGGCACUUUAAUGGGACUGCCGGUGACAAACCGGAGGAAGGUGGGGAUGACGUCAAGUCCUCAUGGCCCUUAUGGCCAGGGCUUCACACGUAAUACAAUGGUCGGUACAGAGAGUUGCC
This 483-nucleotide ribosomal RNA is filed under the name uncultured bacterium. Its description in RNAcentral is "bacterial SSU rRNA". It matches the Rfam family "Bacterial small subunit ribosomal RNA", at positions 772 to 1251 of the family's 1533-position model. The record is from RNAcentral.